RNAcentral lists this ribosomal RNA (429 nucleotides) under Gemmatimonadota bacterium. RNAcentral describes it as "Gemmatimonadetes bacterium partial 16S ribosomal RNA". It matches the Rfam family "Bacterial small subunit ribosomal RNA", at positions 355 to 776 of the family's 1533-position model. The record is from RNAcentral. Lineage: Bacteria; Pseudomonadati; Gemmatimonadota.
UAGGGAAUCUUCGGCAAUGGACGAAAGUCUGACCGAGCAACGCCGCGUGAGUGAAGAAGGUUUUCGGAUCGUAAAACUCUGUUGUUAGAGAAGAACAAGGACGUUAGUAACUGAACGUCCCCUGACGGUAUCUAACCAGAAAGCCACGGCUAACUACGUGCCAGCAGCCGCGGUAAUACGUAGGUGGCAAGCGUUGUCCGGAUUUAUUGGGCGUAAAGCGAGCGCAGGCGGUUUCUUAAGUCUGAUGUGAAAGCCCCCGGCUCAACCGGGGAGGGUCAUUGGAAACCGGGAGACUUGAGUGCAGAAGAGGAUAGUGGAAUUCCAUGUGUAGCGGUGAAAUGCGUAGAUAUAUGGAGGAACACCAGUGGCGAAGGCGGCUCUCUGGUCUGUAACUGACGCUGAGGCUCGAAAGCGUGGGGAGCAAACAGG